This 966-nucleotide ribosomal RNA is filed under the name Ditylenchus filimus. Its description in RNAcentral is "SSU rRNA". It matches the Rfam family "Eukaryotic small subunit ribosomal RNA", at positions 466 to 1466 of the family's 1831-position model. Lineage: Eukaryota; Metazoa; Nematoda; Chromadorea; Rhabditida; Anguinidae. The record is from RNAcentral.
AGUGACGAGAAAUAACGAGACCGUUCUCUACGAGGCCGGGCAUCGGAAUGGGUACAAUCUAAACCCUUUAACGAGUAUCUAUGAGAGGGCAAGUCUGGUGCCAGCAGCCGCGGUAAUUCCAGCUCUCAAAAUGCAUAGAAUCAUUGCUGCGGUUAAAAAGCUCGUAGUUGGAUUUGUGCUAUGGACUCGGUCCACUUUCGGGUGCGUACUGUGCUCCUCGGCUUUUCUGCUGGUUUUCUCGUCGUGGCUUUAAUCGGCUGCGGCGGGUGGCUGGUGAUUUUACUUUGAACAAAUCAGAGUGCUCCAAACAAGCGUUUCGCUUGAAUGUUCUUGCAUGGAAUAAUAGAAGAGGAUUUCGGUUCUAUUUUAUUGGUUUUAUAGACCGAUAUAAUGGUUAAGAGAGACAAACGGGGGCAUUUGUAUCGCUGCGUGAGAGGUGAAAUUCUUGGACCGCAGCGAGACAAACUACCGCGAAAGCAUUUGCCAAGAAUGUCUUCAUUAAUCAAGAACGAAAGUCAGAGGUUCGAAGGCGAUCAGAUACCGCCCUAGUUCUGACCGUAAACGAUGCCAACUAGCGAUCUGCCGGCGGAUUUUUUGCCCUGGUAGGGAGCUCCCCGGAAACGAAAGUUUUCCGGUUCCGGGGGAAGUAUGGUUGCAAAGCUGAAACUUAAAGGAAUUGACGGAAGGGCACCACCAGGAGUGGAGCCUGCGGCUUAAUUUGACUCAACACGGGGAAACUCACCCGGCCCGGACACCGUAAGGAUUGACAGAUUGAUAGCUUUUUCAUGAUUUGGUGGAUGGUGGUGCAUGGCCGUUCUUAGUUCGUGGAGCGAUUUGUCUGGUUUAUUCCGAUAACGAGCGAGACUCGAGCCUACUAACUAGUCUACAUAUCAAUGAUGUGUGUAGCACUUCUUAGAGGAAUUUUCGGUGUUUAGCCCCACGAGAUUGAGCAAUAACAGGUCUGUG